AACGAACGCUGGCGGCAUGCCUAACACAUGCAAGUCGAACGAGACCUUUGGGUCUAGUGGCGCACGGGUGCGUAACGCGUGGGAAUCUGCCCUUGGGUUCGGAAUAACAGUGAGAAAUUGCUGCUAAUACCGGAUGAUGUCUUCGGACCAAAGAUUUAUCGCCCAGGGAUGAGCCCGCGUAGGAUUAGCUAGUUGGUGGGGUAAUGGCCUACCAAGGCGACGAUCCUUAGCUGGUCUGAGAGGAUGAUCAGCCACACUGGGACUGAGACACGGCCCAGACUCCUACGGGAGGCAGCAGUGGGGAAUAUUGGACAAUGGGCGCAAGCCUGAUCCAGCAAUGCCGCGUGAGUGAUGAAGGCCUUAGGGUUGUAAAGCUCUUUUAACAGGGAUGAUAAUGACAGUACCUGGAGAAUAAGCUCCGGCUAACUCCGUG
RNAcentral lists this ribosomal RNA (433 nucleotides) under uncultured bacterium. RNAcentral's name for it is "partial 16S ribosomal RNA". It matches the Rfam family "Bacterial small subunit ribosomal RNA", at positions 29 to 507 of the family's 1533-position model. The record is from RNAcentral.